CCUACGGGUGGCAGCAGUGGGGAAUUUUGGACAAUGGGCGCAAGCCUGAUCCAGCUAUUCCGCGUGUGGGAAGACGGCCUUCGGGUUGUAAACCACUUUUGUAGAGAACGAAAAGUCUGUUGAUAAUACCUAUAGAUGAUGACGGUACUCUAAGAAUAAGCACCGGCUAACUACGUGCCAGCAGCCGCGGUAAUACGUAGGGUGCGAGCGUUAAUCGGAAUUACUGGGCGUAAAGGGUGUGCAGGCGGUUUUGGAAGAUGGAUGUGAAAGCCCCGGGCUUAACCUGGGAAAGCCAUACAUGACUGGAAGACUAGAGUGCGUCAGAGGGGGGUGGAAGUCCAAGUGUAGCAGUGAAAUGCGUAGAUAUUUGGAAGAACACCGAUGGCGAAGGCAGCCCCCUGGGACACAACUGACGCUCAGACACGAAAGCGUGGGGAGCAAACAGGAUUAGAUACCCGAGUAGUC
RNAcentral lists this ribosomal RNA (465 nucleotides) under uncultured bacterium. RNAcentral's name for it is "partial 16S ribosomal RNA". It matches the Rfam family "Bacterial small subunit ribosomal RNA", at positions 338 to 795 of the family's 1533-position model. The record is from RNAcentral.